GAUGAAGAACGUAGCGAAAUGCGAUACGUAAUGUGAAUUGCAAAUUCAGUGAAUCAUCGAGUCUUUGAACGCACAUUGCGCCCCCUGGUAUUCCGGGGGGCAUGCCUGUCCGAGCGUCAUUGCUGCCCUCAAGCACGGCUUGUGUGUUGGGCCCCGUCCUCCGAUCCCGGGGGACGGGCCCGAAAGGCAGCGGCGGCACCGCGUCCGGUCCUCGAGCGUAUGGGGCUUUGUCACCCGCUCUGUAGGCCCGGCCGGCGCUUGCCGAUCAACCCAAAUUUUUAUCCAGGUUGACCUCGGAUCAGGUAGGGAUACCCGCUGAACUUAAGCAUAUCAAUAAGCGGAGGGA
Molecule: unclassified non-coding RNA, 346 nt
Filed under: soil metagenome
Description: partial contains 5.8S ribosomal RNA, internal transcribed spacer 2, and large subunit ribosomal RNA
Rfam family: 5.8S ribosomal RNA (bases 1-119)
Source: RNAcentral